UACGUAGGUGGCAAGCGUUGUCCGGAAUUACUGGGCGUAAAGGGCGCGUAGGCGGCACCUUAAGUCAGAUGUGAAAACCCAGGGCUUAACCUUGGGACUGCAUUUGAAACUGAGGAGCUAGAGUGCCGGAGAGGAAAGCGGAAUUCCUAGUGUAGCGGUGAAAUGCGUAGAUAUUAGGAGGAACACCAGUGGCGAAGGCGGCUUUCUGGACGGUAACUGACGCUGAGGCGCGAAAGCGUGGGGAGCAAACAGG
RNAcentral lists this ribosomal RNA (253 nucleotides) under uncultured bacterium. Its description in RNAcentral is "partial 16S ribosomal RNA". It matches the Rfam family "Bacterial small subunit ribosomal RNA", at positions 524 to 776 of the family's 1533-position model. The record is from RNAcentral.